CCUACGGGUGGCAGCAGUGGGGGAUAUUGCACAAUGGGGGAAACCCUGAUGCAGCGACGCCGCGUGUAGGAAGACGGUCCUCUGGAUUGUAAACUACUGUCCCCUGGGACUAAGAUGACGGUACCUGGGGAGGAAGCUCCGGCUAACUACGUGCCAGAAGCCGCGGUAAUACGUAGGGAGCGAGCGUUGUCCGGAAUUACGGGGUGAAACGGGAGCGUAGGCGGGUAUGAAAGUUGGGUGUUAAGUCUACCGGCUCAACUGAUAGUCGCACUCGAAACUGCAGCUCUUGAGUGAAGUAGAGGCAGGCGGAAUUCCUAGUGUAGCGGUGAAAUGCGUAGAUAUUAGGAGGAACACCAGUGGCGAAGGCGGCCUGCUGGGCUUUUACUGACGCUGAGGCUCGAAAGUGUGGGGAGCAAACAGGAUUAGAUACCCGAGUAGUC
This 440-nucleotide ribosomal RNA is filed under the name uncultured bacterium. RNAcentral describes it as "partial 16S ribosomal RNA". It matches the Rfam family "Bacterial small subunit ribosomal RNA", at positions 338 to 795 of the family's 1533-position model. The record is from RNAcentral.